AGGAUCAUUAUCGAAUUUCGAGGGGAGGGGAAGAUGGGAAGGGGGAGACUGUCGCUGGCUUCCGAGCAUGUGCACGUCUACCUUUNUCGUCAACCCUUUCUCUUACUCUCACACCUGUGCACACAUUGUAGGUCCUCGAAAGAGGAUCUAUGUCUUUAUCAUCACACACAUCGUAUGUCUAGAAUGUAACACGAUCGUUGACCGACCUUCGUGGUCGGCCGGCGGUCGAUAAAAACAAAUACAACUUUCAGCAACGGAUCUCUUGGCUCUCGCAUCGAUGAAGAACGCAGCGAAUUGCGAUAAGUAAUGUGAAUUGCAGAUUUUCAGUGAAUCAUCGAAUCUUUGGACGCACCUUGCGCUCCUUGGUAUUCCGAGGAGCAUGCCUGUUUGAGUGUCAUGUAAUUAUCAACCAUGUCUCGAUUCAUUUCGAGGCUUGGCUUGGACUUGGGGGUUGCUGGCGGCGAAAGCUGUCGGCUCUCCUGAAAUGUAUUAGCGAUGGACAGCAAGUCUGACGUGCACGGCCUCGACGUGAUAAUGAUCGUCGUCGCUGGAGCGUCAGACGAGCGUGAUUACGUCCCUUUGCUUCUAAUCCUUUUUGAC
RNAcentral lists this ribosomal RNA (600 nucleotides) under uncultured Octaviania. RNAcentral describes it as "eukaryotic LSU rRNA". The stretch from base 243 to 397 matches the Rfam family "5.8S ribosomal RNA". Lineage: Eukaryota; Fungi; Basidiomycota; Agaricomycetes; Boletales; Boletaceae. The record is from RNAcentral.